CCUACGGGGGGCAGCAGUGGGGAAUAUUGCACAAUGGGGGAAACCCUGAUGCAGCGACGCCGCGUGAGUGAAGAAGUAUUUCGGUAUGUAAAGCUCUAUCAGCAGGGAAGAAGUUGACGGUACCUGAGUAAGAAGCCCCGGCUAACUACGUGCCAGCAGCCGCGGUAAUACGUAGGGGGCAAGCGUUAUCCGGAUUUACUGGGUGUAAAGGGAGCGUAGACGGCAGUGCAAGUCUGAAGUGAAAGCCCCGGGCUUAACCCGGGAAUUGCUUUGGAAACUGUACGGCUGGAGUGCUGGAGAGGUAA
This 305-nucleotide ribosomal RNA is filed under the name uncultured bacterium. RNAcentral describes it as "bacterial SSU rRNA". It matches the Rfam family "Bacterial small subunit ribosomal RNA", at positions 338 to 660 of the family's 1533-position model. The record is from RNAcentral.